UGGGGAAUAUUGGACAAUGGGCGAAAGCCUGAUCCAGCCAUGCCGCGUGUGUGAAGAAGGUCUUCGGAUUGUAAAGCACUUUAAGUUGGGAGGAAGGGCAUUAACCUAAUACGUUAGUGUUUUGACGUUACCGACAGAAUAAGCACCGGCUAACUCUGUGCCAGCAGCCGCGGUAAUACAGAGGGUGCAAGCGUUAAUCGGAAUUACUGGGCGUAAAGCGCGCGUAGGUGGUUUGUUAAGUUGGGUGUGAAAUCCCCGGGCUCAACCUGGGAACUGCAUUCAAAACUGACUGACUAGAGUAUGGUAGAGGGUGGUGGAAUUUCCUGUGUAGCGGUGAAAUGCGUAGAUAUAGGAAGGAACACCAGUGGCGAAGGCGACCACCUGGACUAAUACUGACACUGAGGUGCGAAAGCGUGGGGAGCAAACA
This 427-nucleotide ribosomal RNA is filed under the name uncultured bacterium. RNAcentral's name for it is "partial 16S ribosomal RNA". It matches the Rfam family "Bacterial small subunit ribosomal RNA", at positions 355 to 774 of the family's 1533-position model. The record is from RNAcentral.